Molecule: ribosomal RNA, 301 nt
Filed under: uncultured bacterium
Lineage: Bacteria
Description: partial 16S ribosomal RNA
Rfam family: Bacterial small subunit ribosomal RNA
Source: RNAcentral
CAGCAGCCGCGGUAAUACGAAGGGGGCUAGCGUUGUUCGGAUUUACUGGGCGUAAAGCGCACGUAGGCGGAUCGAUCAGUCAGGGGUGAAAUCCCAGAGCUCAACUCUGGAACUGCCUUUGAUACUGUCGAUCUGGAGUAUGGAAGAGGUGAGUGGAAUUCCGAGUGUAGAGGUGAAAUUCGUAGAUAUUCGGAGGAACACCGGUGGCGAAGGCGGCUCACUGGUCCAUUACUGACGCUGAGGUGCGAAAGCGUGGGGAGCAAACAGGAUUAGAUACCCCCGUAGUCCCUGUCUCUUAUAC